UAUUGCACAAUGGGGGAAACCCUGAUGCAGCGACGCCGCGUGAGUGAAGAAGUAUUUCGGUAUGUAAAGCUCUAUCAGCAGGGAAGAAAAUGACGGUACCUGAUUAAGAAGCACCGGCUAACUACGUGCCAGCAGACGCGGUAAUACGUAGGGGGCAAACGUUAUCCGGAUUUACUGGGUGUAAAGGGAGCGUAGACGGCAGCACAAGUCUGCUGUGAAAUGCCGGGGCUUAACCCCGGAACUGCUUUGGAAACUGUGCAGCUAGAGUGCAGAAGAGGUAAGUGGAAUUCCUAGUGUGGCGGUGAAAUGCGUAGAUAUUAGGAGGAACACCAGUGGCGAAGGCGGCUUACUGGACUGUAACUGACGUUGAGGCUCGAAAGCGUGGGGAGCAAACAGG
RNAcentral lists this ribosomal RNA (397 nucleotides) under uncultured bacterium. RNAcentral describes it as "bacterial SSU rRNA". It matches the Rfam family "Bacterial small subunit ribosomal RNA", at positions 362 to 776 of the family's 1533-position model. The record is from RNAcentral.